Molecule: non-coding RNA, 97 nt
Organism: Triticum aestivum (bread wheat)
Lineage: Eukaryota; Viridiplantae; Streptophyta; Magnoliopsida; Poales; Poaceae
Source: Rfam
CUGAUACUCCCUCCGUCCCAAAUUACUUGUCUUAUUUGUCUAGAUACAUUGUCUAGACAAAUCUAAGACAAGUAAUUUGGGACGGAGGGAGUAUCAG